This is a long non-coding RNA of Chenopodium quinoa (quinoa), 1785 nucleotides long. RefSeq lists it as uncharacterized. The transcript has 6 exons. NCBI's taxonomy places the organism in Eukaryota, Viridiplantae, Streptophyta, Magnoliopsida, Caryophyllales, Amaranthaceae. The record is from RefSeq and is a predicted model, not a curated record.
AACUGCACUACUAGUAAUUUGAUUAUUGUUCUUACUGUCAGAGUGUCAAUAAAGUAAAAAUAAUUAUUGUAAAGUUGGUUACAAUACUUGGUUUGUUUUUAAUUGUGUUUGUGUGUGUAGGUGUUGAAGCGUAUGACCCCUGAAUGGUUUUAGGAGAAGCUCACCCCAUGGCUGCAUCGGCUGGAGCAACUUUAUAGCUCUGGGUGUAGGGUGGUUAUUCGGGCUCCUAUGGAGAGGAAAGCCGUUGACCCGGUAUUGUCGAUGUCUUCUUUAGAGUCGGAGAAAUCUGGUCAGUAAAAACAUAAUGAUGAGGCGAGUACUCUUGACGAAAGACUUGGAAAAGUUGAUUAUAAGGUUUUUAUUGGUUAUACAAAAAUAGGUGUUAGAGAUUUGAUUCAAAUUGUUGCCUAUCAGGUCCAAGAUGAUGCACUAAAAGAUGCAAAAGCAGUUGUAGCGGGGGUUAAGUCUAUUGUAGCGGGGGUUCAGUCUGUUGGUGAGAAGCAGGCACCCUCCAAGGGACCUAAAAAGGGCGUGGGUAAGGCUGAUGUUGAGGCUAACCUUGAGGCUGGUGCUGACCAAAGUGGGGAGCCAACUGUUGGGGUUGAAGUGCCACGUGUAGAAGAACAACCGCAAACUGAACUAUAUAGUUCAUGGCAUUAACUAUGCAGACUUGAACUAGGGAGUAGGAGAUGUUGAUUUCAGUGUGGUUUUUGGUGGGAAUGGUACGGGUAAAGUUGGUGGUUUAGAGGAUGACCUUAGUAUUGGUAAUGGGGGUGCAGUAGUCCAAGACACGGGGGAAGUUCCAACAAAAGGAGGAAAGAGGAAAAGUGAUCGUAGUGUUGGAAAACGACCUUGCAGACCCUCUAAAAAGGGAUUGCAAAUUGCCAAAAAGGGCGAAGUGCUGACGAAGGAGGAUCGAAGAAUCAUUACUUAUGUCCUUUCUUGGACUCCGAAAAUGGAAAGCAGGUAUAUAUGGAAUUUUGCCAUGGUGUUAUAUGUUGCAGCAAUCGUGCCGGGACGCAGUACGUCAGGGCUGCUACUAAGAUGUACACGAAAGAGUGGUAUUUGUCUCCGUUCUCAUGGAAGAACACUGGUGGUGUGUUGUGUUUCAUUUGAAGGAUGAGAAGAUAUGGCUCAUAGAUUCCAUUAACCCAGAACCAGCUUUCACCCACGAUGAUGCCCUAGAUGAGUUGAGGGCCAGAAUGGACAAGAUUUUUAAGCACUAUGACGAGACAUGGGAAGAGGGACCUAUCUUGACAUAGCCGACAGAAGCCGUGGACAAUAAAGAACCGACUGAUGACAUUUGUUGUGGCCCUUUGAUGCUAGCUUGCAUUAAGAACUCUGUUGAUCGGUUUCAGACCAAGUUCCGUUGGAUAUGCCACCUACGUUUGGUUUUGCAGUUAGUUUGACUAAUUUCCUUAUUAUGGGUACUAAAAUGAAUUUUGGCUGAACUAUUAUACAGGAGACGGUUGAGAUUGGUAGAGCGCGAGUUUUGUUGGGUGACCUACUAUGCUCGUUCAAUGAACGUCGAGCUGAGGUUCACAAGUUAGUGGAGGCUUGGGAUAAAGAGAAAAAAGGAAGGGAAGGGAAAUGAUUUGAAUGUAUCUCAAUACAGUGUAGUCUGUAAUUAUUUUUGUGGUUGAAAAAUAUGUGUACUGUGAUGAUGCUAGUAGGUGAUGAUGGUAUUAGGGGAUGGUAGUUUAUGUUUGGACACUACAUUUUUCCAUGUGUUGGGUGAUGGUAAUAUUUCAGAUCAUGCUGGUACACCAUGAUAUGGUUUGAUGA